UCUACCUUGGAUGGCAUUCUUGACCAGUACGGGUGUCGGGAUAACGGGGAGAAGGCAGGAAAAUGGGGUUAAGAGGGAAAGAUAGAUCAGCCAUGGUUGAAUGA
Molecule: long non-coding RNA, 104 nt
Organism: Amblyraja radiata (thorny skate)
Lineage: Eukaryota; Metazoa; Chordata; Chondrichthyes; Rajiformes; Rajidae
Exons: 3
Source: RefSeq, a predicted model, not a curated record